Molecule: transfer RNA, 70 nt
Filed under: Dipodomys ordii (Ord's kangaroo rat)
Lineage: Eukaryota; Metazoa; Chordata; Mammalia; Rodentia; Heteromyidae
Rfam family: tRNA
About the family: Transfer RNA (tRNA) molecules are approximately 80 nucleotides in length.
Source: Rfam by way of RNAcentral
GGGAAUGUGGCUUAGUGGUAGAGUACUUGCUUUGUAUGCAUGAAGCCCUGGGUUUGAUUCCUCAGUCCUA